RNAcentral lists this ribosomal RNA (647 nucleotides) under uncultured Gammaproteobacteria bacterium. Its description in RNAcentral is "bacterial SSU rRNA". It matches the Rfam family "Bacterial small subunit ribosomal RNA", at positions 33 to 667 of the family's 1533-position model. The record is from RNAcentral. Lineage: Bacteria; Pseudomonadati; Pseudomonadota; Gammaproteobacteria.
ACGCUGGCGGCAGGCCUAACACAUGCAAGUCGAGCGGUAACAGGAAGAAAGCUUGCUUUCUUUGCUGACGAGCGGCGGACGGGUGAGUAAUGCCUAGGGAUCUGCCCAGUCGAGGGGGAUAACAGUUGGAAACGACUGCUAAUACCGCAUACGCCCUACGGGGGAAAGGAGGGGACCUUCGGGCCUUUCGCGAUUGGAUGAACCUAGGUGGGAUUAGCUAGUUGGUAAGGUAAUGGCUUACCAAGGCGACGAUCCCUAGCUGUUCUGAGAGGAUGAUCAGCCACACUGGGACUGAGACACGGCCCAGACUCCUACGGGAGGCAGCAGUGGGGAAUAUUGCACAAUGGGGGAAACCCUGAUGCAGCCAUGCCGCGUGUGUGAAGAAGGCCUUCGGGUUGUAAAGCACUUUCAGUAGGGAGGAAAGGUAGUGGUUUAAUACGCCAUUGCUGUGACGUUACCUACAGAAGAAGGACCGGCUAACUUCGUGCCAGCAGCCGCGGUAAUACGAGGGGUCCAAGCGUUAAUCGGAAUUACUGGGCGUAAAGCGUACGCAGGCGGUUCAUUAAGCCAGAUGUGAAAUCCCCGGGCUCAACCUGGGAAUUGCAUUUGGAACUGGUGAACUAGAGUCUUGUAGAGGGGGGUAGAAU